Molecule: long non-coding RNA, 831 nt
Filed under: Ostreococcus sp. 'lucimarinus'
Lineage: Eukaryota; Viridiplantae; Chlorophyta; Mamiellophyceae; Mamiellales; Bathycoccaceae
Description: long non-coding RNA (OLUC_LNC000001)
Source: RNAcentral
GAAUCGACGCGAGACGACGACGACAAAAUCAUGUUCGCCGCGAGCGCCGUCGCGGGACGACGCGCCGCGAGCGCGUGCGCGCGACGCGGCUUGCACACGACGAGAACCGCGAUGGGGGGCGCGGACGAACCGGUGCGGCGACGACGCGCAAAGCGCGCGGGACGCGAUCGAGCGCGAACGAGGGACGGGGGGGACCGCGCGAGAAAGCGCGCGGGACGACGCGCGCGCGAAAACGCGACGCGCGCGCGAAGAGACGUCGACGCGUCGACGCGGGAUGACUGACGAGGACGACGACGCGCGAGGGCGCGGCGACGCGCGCAGGCGUACAUUCACGCGAAGCGCAUGUACGACGUCGGCGCGACGAAGAACCGAAAGUUGGUCUUCGGCGUCGCCACGGCGGCGAUCGUGCUGAUCGGGGGGUACAUUCCCGUGUUUGCGAUUCAGUUUCAGGUGCGCGCGCGCGCGCGACGCGCGACGCGCGGGCGAGGGCGCGACGCGCGGAUACCCUAACGCGACGCGAGGGGCGAUCUCGCUCGAGCGGUCGAGACUGACGAACGCGACGACCGCGCGCGCGAAUCGCAGCAAAACAAAACCAAGGCGUAGGCGCUUAGGCGAGACGCGCUUCGAACGCGCCCCGAUCGCGGGCCUCGGGUUGUGAUGCCGCCACACGUGCUGUACGAUUACACGCGCCGCCGCUUCGAUUUCGACCUCGAGCGCGACGUCCUCCUAAUCUCAUCCCUCGACCGUCGCGCUCACCGCUUCGCGCGCUUUCCCCCCGCGUCCGCCGCGUCGUCGUCGUCCGCCUCUUCCGCCACCGCACCGACGUAAUAC